GCGCUUUUAGCUCAGUUGGAUAGAGCAUUCGCCUCCUAAGCGAAAGGCCGGCCGUUCAAGUCGGGCAAGGCGCG
This 74-nucleotide transfer RNA is filed under the name Paenalcaligenes hominis. It matches the Rfam family "tRNA". Rfam says of the family: Transfer RNA (tRNA) molecules are approximately 80 nucleotides in length. Their secondary structure includes four short double-helical elements and three loops (D, anti-codon, and T loops). Lineage: Bacteria; Pseudomonadati; Pseudomonadota; Betaproteobacteria; Burkholderiales; Alcaligenaceae. The record is from Rfam by way of RNAcentral.